CAAGGCCAGGGAUCACGAGCCAGGCUGGGCAGGAACCCAGGGCACCCAGGCCCACCAUAAGCCGAACAGAUAUGCAGCUACCCUGCAGGGUUUCCAGGAGCAAACCCAGUUACACCCACCCCUGGGGGAGCUACCCUGGGGGAGGAGCAUAGAGCAGAGACUGGGAAGCACACUUCAGAACACUGUGCCAAGAUUAGAGCCCACUUGAAGGAAAGGGGAAGCAGAAGAGAGGUGAAGUUCCAAGUGGCCCUGUAAGAAGCUAAAUUAACAGGCCCUGAAAGGUAAGAAAUGUUCCUGGCUCCUGCGCUCAGAUAAUCCUAGUCUCUCUCAAAGCAGGUCCAGUAUGAGCCAUUUGAGCACAGAGCCGAGUGUCUCAAUCCCUGCACUACUGACACUUGGGGUCAGACAAAUCUGUUGUUUGAAGGUGUUCUGUGCCAUUCAAGAUGUUAACCAGCAUCCUUG
Molecule: long non-coding RNA, 462 nt
Filed under: Homo sapiens (human)
Lineage: Eukaryota; Metazoa; Chordata; Mammalia; Primates; Hominidae
Description: HSALNT0241851
Source: RNAcentral